GACGAACGCUGGCGGCGUGCUUAACACAUGCAAGUCGAACGGAAAGGCCUCUUUCGGGGGGUACUCGAGUGGCGAACGGGUGAGUAACACGUGAGUAACCUGCCCUUGACUUUGGGAUAACUUCAGGAAACUGGGGCUAAUACCGGAUAGGAGCUCCUGCUGCAUGGUGGGGGUUGGAAAGUUUCGGCGGUUGGGGAUGGACUCGCGGCUUAUCAGCUUGUUGGUGGGGUAGUGGCUUACCAAGGCUUUGACGGGUAGCCGGCCUGAGAGGGUGACCGGCCACAUUGGGACUGAGAUACGGCCCAGACUCCUACGGGAGGCAGCAAUUGGGAAUAUUGCACAAUGGGUGGAAGCCUGAUGCAGCAACGCCGUGUGCGGGAUGACGGCCUUCGGGUUGUAAACCGCUUUCGCUCAUGACGAAGCUUUGUGUGACGGUAGUGGGUAAAGAAGCACCGGCUAACUACGUGC
Molecule: ribosomal RNA, 468 nt
Filed under: uncultured bacterium
Lineage: Bacteria
Description: partial 16S ribosomal RNA
Rfam family: Bacterial small subunit ribosomal RNA
Source: RNAcentral